AAUACCUAGAAUCAUAAACAAAAUCACUUAUAAAGCGUCAUAGAGAAGAAACUCUCGAUCAAUCCGUGGAAUUGAGAAGUCCGACUUGGGGUUAGGACAUUACCAAUCGAAUUUUGAAUGAUCUUGUUUCUCCUCCAGUCUGAAGUGGAACUAAUAGUUAUUUUUUUACCGGAAUGCACGUAAGAAGAUGGCAGGACUAGUACACCUUUUAUAUAAAGUCCAAAUCGACAUUCCAUUAAU
Molecule: long non-coding RNA, 240 nt
Filed under: Ananas comosus (pineapple)
Lineage: Eukaryota; Viridiplantae; Streptophyta; Magnoliopsida; Poales; Bromeliaceae
Description: long non-coding RNA (ACOM_LNC003832)
Source: RNAcentral